GAUGAACGCUGGCGGCGUGCCUAAUACAUGCAAGUAGAACGCUGAAGGAAGGAGCUUGCCCUUUCCGGAUGAGUUGCGAACGGGUGAGUAACGCGUAGGUAACCUGCCUGGUAGCGGGGGAUAACUAUUGGAAACGAUAGCUAAUACCGCAUAACAGUAGAUGUUGCAUGAUAUCUACUUAAAAGGUGCAAUUGCACCACUACCAGAUGGACCUGCGUUGUAUUAGCUAGUUGGUGAGGUAACGGCUCACCAAGGCGACGAUACAUAGCCGACCUGAGAGGGUGAUCGGCCACACUGGGACUGAGACACGGCCCAGACUCCUACGGGAGGCAGCAGUAGGGAAUCUUCGGCAAUGGACGGAAGUCUGACCGAGCAACGCCGCGUGAGUGAAGAAGGUUUUCGGAUCGUAAAGCUCUGUUGUAAGAGAAGAACGAGUGUGAGAGUGGAAAGUUCACACUGUGACGGUAUCUUACCAGAAAGGGACGGCUAACUACGUG
This 497-nucleotide ribosomal RNA is filed under the name uncultured bacterium. Its description in RNAcentral is "partial 16S ribosomal RNA". It matches the Rfam family "Bacterial small subunit ribosomal RNA", at positions 28 to 507 of the family's 1533-position model. The record is from RNAcentral.